RNAcentral lists this ribosomal RNA (492 nucleotides) under uncultured bacterium. RNAcentral's name for it is "partial 16S ribosomal RNA". It matches the Rfam family "Bacterial small subunit ribosomal RNA", at positions 29 to 507 of the family's 1533-position model. The record is from RNAcentral.
AGUGAACGCUGGCGGUAGGCCUAACACAUGCAAGUCGAACGGCAGCACAGUAAGAGCUUGCUCUUACGGGUGGCGAGUGGCGGACGGGUGAGGAAUACAUCGGAAUCUACUUUUUCGUGGGGGAUAACGUAGGGAAACUUACGCUAAUACCGCAUACGACCUACGGGUGAUAGCAGGGGAUCUUCGGACCUUGCGCGAUUGAAUGAGCCGAUGUCGGAUUAGCUAGUUGGCGGGGUAAAGGCCCACCAAGGCGACGAUCCGUAGCUGAUCUGAGAGGAUGAUCAGCCACACUGGAACUGAGACACGGUCCAGACUCCUACGGGAGGCAGCAGUGGGGAAUAUUGGACAAUGGGCGCAAGCCUGAUCCAGCCAUACCGCGUGGGUGAAGAAGGCCUUCGGGUUGUAAAGCCCUUUUGUUGGGAAAGAAAAGCAGCAGGUUAAUACCCCGCUGUUCUGACGGUACCCAAAGAAUAAGCACCGGCUAACUUCGUG